Molecule: non-coding RNA, 1178 nt
Filed under: Pongo abelii (Sumatran orangutan)
Lineage: Eukaryota; Metazoa; Chordata; Mammalia; Primates; Hominidae
Source: RNAcentral
CCAAAGGAGAUUAACAUUUGAGUCAGUGGACUGGGAGCUGCAGAUCCACCCUCAAUCUGGGUGAGCACCAUCUAAUCAGCUGUCAGUGCAGCUAGGAUAAAGGCAGGCAGAGGAAUGCGGAAGGACUAGACUGGCUAAGUCUUCUGGCCUCCAUCUUUCUCCCAUGCUGGAUGCUUCCUGACCUUGAACAUCAGACUCCAAGUUCUUCAGCUUUUGGACUGUUGGACUUACACCAGUGAUUUGCCAGGGGCUCUUGGGCCUUCAGCCACAGAGUGAAGGCUGUACUGUCAGCUUCCCUACUUUUGAGAUUUUGGGACAUGGACUGGCUUCCUAGCUCCUCAGCUUGCAGACGGCCUAUCAUGGUACUUCACCUUGUGAUCAUGACUGCUGGUAUAGCUUGCCUGGUGGUGGACUUGGAGGAUACCAUUGCAUCAGGGCAUUUCUCCACAUGAUAGCUCCUGCCUGCUGGACAGGUCCUCUCUUGACUAUGUGUAUUCUCCAGAGAAGCAGGCAGAAUGAACAUUCUGGAAAAUUUAUGUCCUUGUGUAGAAAGCUAGAAAAAAAAAAGAAGAAAAAAGAAACUCUCAGCCUGAAGGCCCACGUAAAACACAAAGCACUUCUGAAAUCUUUUUGGGGGACCAGAAUCACACCAAGCAAUGCCUGAGGAAGUGAAUGUAAUCGAGUAUUGCCCUAACAUCUUUCAGUACAACCACAUUAGAAUCUCCUUUAAAGCUUUUCCCACCUUCCCCAGCUCUAAUUGAUCCCCUCAAAACUAUGCUAAAUUUUUAGUAUUCCUAAUCACCUUGACGUAAGAUUGGAGCUAAUUCUGAAAAAGAAUCUCUGAAUGAAAAGCUAUUCUACCAGAAAUACCACAUUUCCGGUAAAAAUGUUAGGAGCAUUUUUUUUCUUUUGCUUUCUUUUUUCUACUUUCGUUCUUUCAAGUGAACUUAGUAGAUAUUAAUCCCUGGAGAGAUUAUUUUAGUUGGUAUCUGAAUUUUAAGGUAACUUCCAGUGCUUGAAAUCUAUUAUAACUAUGUCUUCUAAUUUCGUAGAAUCUUGGUCUCAGAACCUUAAGUCUUUACACGCAUUCUGCUUCGUUCCUAGACAGCAGAAGAAAGAGGAAUCCCUACUCUGUCUCCUCACACUUUCUAUGUCCCAGGCAAAUAGCAAUAGCUCAG